UUUCCGUAGGUGAACCUGCGGAAGGAUCAUUAAAAAAUUGGACUACAUUGGUGAGUUCAUUAAUAAUCCCUACCCUUUGUGAAUUUGUUUGUUUGAAUAAUUUUUUUUCCAAAAAAGAUUAUUGAAUGUCUUUCCUUGUUUUGGUGGAGCUUGUAAAGUGAAACCAGGCAGGGGAAUGGCAAACAAUAAUUAUUUUUGAAAAAGACCUUUUUUUAAAAUUAAACUUUUGUAUUCAUUUGUCUAAAAUUAAUUUUUAUAAUAUAAAAACAACUUUUGACAAUGGAUCUCUUGGUUCUCGCAACGAUGAAGAACGCAGCAAAAUGCGAUAAGUAGUGUGAAUUGCAGAAUACGUGAAUCAUCGAAUCUUCGAACGCAUAUUGCACUUUUUUAGUUUACUAAAAAAGUAUGUCUGUUUGAGUAUCAGUAAAAUAUUCUCAUAAAAAACAUUGUUUUUUUUAUGGUUAUGAGUGUUUUACAACGAUAACAAGUUGUUUCACUUUAAAUUCUUUGUUAUCAAAAAAAUCAUUAAAAGCUAAUUUUAAAGAUUUUUUAAAAUUGGAUAAAAUUUUCCCGUAAAAAGGAAUAACCUAAACAAUUUUAAAAAAUUAAAAUUGGUUUGAUUUUUUUUGAAACCCAAAGGAAAAAAAAACGAAAUUAACUUGAUCUCAAAUCAGAUAAGAGUACCCGCUGAACUUAAGCAUAUCAAUAAGCGGAGGAAAAGAAACUAACUAGGAUUCCCUCAGUAACGGCGAGUGAAGCGGGAAGAGCUCAAAUUUGAAAUCUUCAAGGUUUUACCUUGACGAAUUGUAGUUUAAAGAAGUGUUUUCUGUUGGAGUUUUGGUAAAAGUUCUUUGGAAAAGGACAUCAUAGAGGGUGAGAAUCCCGUAUUUGACCAUUAUCUCCAGCUUUGUGAUACACUUUCAAAGAGUCGGAUUGUUUGGGAAUGCAGUCCAAAAUGGGUGGUAAAUUUCAUCUAAAGCUAAAUACUGGCGAGAGACCGAUAGCGAACAAGUACCGUGAGGGAAAGAUGAAAAGAACUUUGAAAAGAGAGUUAAACAGUACGUGAAAUUGUCAAAAGGGAAGCGUUUGACACCAGUGUUGUUUUCUCGAAAAUCAAUUAAAAAAGGCCGGAUUUUGUGUUGUAUUGACUUUAUCAGCUUUCUGCACUCUUUUCUUGUCUUUUUUAAUGCACUUUUCGUUUAACAAGUCAACAUCAAUUUCUUUUGUUGUAAAAGGGUCAUUGGAAGGUGGCUUUCUUUUCGGAGAAAGUGUUUAUAGCCUUUGGCCUCUGCAAUCGGAGAGAUUGAGGUCUGCAGCGUAGAUCCUUCGGGGUUAGAUACAUUUGUGCUAAGUUAUAGCCUUUCAUAGACAACUUGUUGACUAUGAUCAGUCAUGUAGCUUACUCGCUUAUGCUAUUUUACCUACGCUUAGGAUGUU
This 1437-nucleotide unclassified non-coding RNA is filed under the name uncultured Neocallimastigales. RNAcentral describes it as "partial contains small subunit ribosomal RNA, internal transcribed spacer 1, 5.8S ribosomal RNA, internal transcribed spacer 2, and large subunit ribosomal RNA". The stretch from base 661 to 1437 matches the Rfam family "Eukaryotic large subunit ribosomal RNA", at positions 1 to 627 of the family's 3401-position model. Lineage: Eukaryota; Fungi; Neocallimastigomycota; Neocallimastigomycetes; Neocallimastigales. The record is from RNAcentral.